AACGAACGCUGGCGGCAUGCCUAACACAUGCAAGUCGAACGAGACCUUCGUGCCUUGUGGCGCACGUCUGCUUACCGCCUGGGAACCUGCCCUUAGGUUCGCAAUCCCUCCCCGAAAGGUGUCCUCAUACCGCUUAAUCUCUUCCCACCAAAGAUUUAUGGCGUUGGGAUGGGCGCGCGUUGGAUUCGCCAGUUGGUAGUGUAAAAGCCUACCAAGGCGAGGAUGCAUGGCUGGUCGGGGAGGAUGACAAGCCAGACUGGACAUGAGACACGGCCCAGACUCGUACGGGAGGGAGCAGUGGGGAAUAUUGGACGAUGGGCGAAAGCCUGAUACAGCAAUGCGGCGUGAGUGAGGAAGGGCGUAGGGUUGUAAAGCUCUUUUAGACGGGAUGAGAAUGACAGUACCGGGAGAAUAAGCUCCGGCUAACUACGUG
Molecule: ribosomal RNA, 433 nt
Filed under: uncultured bacterium
Lineage: Bacteria
Description: partial 16S ribosomal RNA
Rfam family: Bacterial small subunit ribosomal RNA
Source: RNAcentral